GUCGAGCGGAUGAGUGGAGCUUGCUCCAUGAUUCAGCGGCGGACGGGUGAGUAAUGCCUAGGAAUCUGCCUGGUAGUGGGGGACAACGUUUCGAAAGGARCGCUAAUACCGCAUACGUCCUACGGGAGAAAGUGGGGGAUCUUCGGACCUCACGCUAUCAGAUGAGCCUAGGUCGGAUUAGCUAGUUGGUGAGGUAAAGGCUCACCAAGGCGACGAUCCGUAACUGGUCUGAGAGGAUGAUCAGUCACACUGGAACUGAGACACGGUCCAGACUCCUACGGGAGGCAGCAGUGGGGAAUAUUGGACAAUGGGCGAAAGCCUGAUCCAGCCAUGCCGCGUGUGUGAAGAAGGUCUUCGGAUUGUAAAGCACUUUAAGUUGGGAGGAAGGGCAGUAAGUUAAUACCUUGCUGUUUUGACGUUACCAACAGAAUAAGCACCGGCUAACUUCGUGCCAGCAGCCGCGGUAAUACGAAGGGUGCAAGCGUUAAUCGGAAUUACUGGGCGUAAAGCGCGCGUAGGUGGUUCGUUAAGUUGGAUGUGAAAGCCCCGGGCUCAACCUGGGAACUGCAUCCAAAACUGGCGAGCUAGAGUAUGGCAGAGGGUGGUGGAAUUUCCUGUGUAGCGGUGAAAUGCGUAGAUAUAGGAAGGGAACACCAGUGGCGAAGGCGACCACCUGGGCUAAUACUGACACUGAGUGCGAAAGCGUGGGGAGCAAACAGGAUUAGAUACCCUGGUAGUCCACGCCGUAAACGAUGUCGACUAGCCGUUGGGAUCAUGAGAUCUUAGUGGCGCAGCUAACGCA
This 802-nucleotide ribosomal RNA is filed under the name Stutzerimonas stutzeri. Its description in RNAcentral is "bacterial SSU rRNA". It matches the Rfam family "Bacterial small subunit ribosomal RNA", at positions 61 to 859 of the family's 1533-position model. Lineage: Bacteria; Pseudomonadati; Pseudomonadota; Gammaproteobacteria; Pseudomonadales; Pseudomonadaceae. The record is from RNAcentral.